GUACUUGUACUGAUUGAGAUUUUAACACGAAGUGAGUGGCGAACGGGUGAGUAACACGUGGGUAACCUGCCCAGAAGUAGGGGAUAACACCUGGAAACAGAUGCUAAUACCGUAUAACAGAGAAAACCGCAUGGUUUUCUUUUAAAAGAUGGCUCUGCUAUCACUUCUGGAUGGACCCGCGGCGUAUUAGCUAGUUGGUGAGGUAAAGGCUCACCAAGGCAGUGAUACGUAGCCGACCUGAGAGGGUAAUCGGCCACAUUGGGACUGAGACACGGCCCAGACUCCUACGGGAGGCAGCAGUAGGGAAUCUUCCACAAUGGACGCAAGUCUGAUGGAGCAACGCCGCGUGAGUGAAGAAGGGUUUCGGCUCGUAAAGCUCUGUUGUUAAAGAAGAACGUGGGUAAGAGUAACUGUUUACCCAGUGACGGUAUUUAACCAGAAAGCCACGGCUAACUACGUGCCAGCAGCCGCGGUAAUACGUAGGUGGCAAGCGUUAUCCGGAUUUAUUGGGCGUAAAGCGAGCGCAGGCGGUCUUUUAAGUCUAAUGUGAAAGCCUUCGGCUCAACCGAAGAAGUGCAUUGGAAACUGGGAGACUUGAGUGCAGAAGAGGACAGUGGAACUCCAUGUGUAGCGGUGAAAUGCGUAGAUAUAUGGAAGAACACCAGUGGCGAAGGCGGCUGUCUGGUCUGCAACUGACGCUGAGGCUCGAAAGCAUGGGUAGCGAACAGGAUUAGAUACCCUGGUAGUCCAUGCCGUAAACGAUGAUUACUAAGUGUUGGAGGGUUUCCGCCCUUCAGUGCUGCAGCUAACGCAUUAAGUAAUCCGCCUGGGGAGUACGACCGCAAGGUUGAAACUCAAAAGAAUUGACGGGGGCCCGCACAAGCGGUGGAGCAUGUGGUUUAAUUCGAAGCUACGCGAAGAACCUUACCAGGUCUUGACAUCUUCUGACAGUCUAAGAGAUUAGAGGUUCCCUUCGGGGACAGAAUGACAGGUGGUGCAUGGUUGUCGUCAGCUCGUGUCGUGAGAUGUUGGGUUAAGUCCCGCAACGAGCGCAACCCUUAUUACUAGUUGCCAGCAUUAAGUUGGGCACUCUAGUGAGACUGCCGGUGACAAACCGGAGGAAGGGGGGACGACGUCAAUCAUCAUGCCCCUUAUGACCUGGGCUACC
Molecule: ribosomal RNA, 1168 nt
Filed under: Pediococcus pentosaceus
Lineage: Bacteria; Bacillati; Bacillota; Bacilli; Lactobacillales; Lactobacillaceae
Description: bacterial SSU rRNA
Rfam family: Bacterial small subunit ribosomal RNA
Source: RNAcentral